RNAcentral lists this ribosomal RNA (254 nucleotides) under uncultured prokaryote. Its description in RNAcentral is "partial 16S ribosomal RNA". It matches the Rfam family "Bacterial small subunit ribosomal RNA", at positions 524 to 777 of the family's 1533-position model. The record is from RNAcentral.
UACGGAGGAUGCAAGCGUUAUCCGGAUUUAUUGGGUUUAAAGGGUGCGCAGGUUAUUUGAUAAGUCAGUGGUGAAAGUCUGUCGCUUAACGGUAGGAUUGCCAUUGAUACUGUUGGACUUGAAUAUGGAUGAGGUAGGCGGAAUGUGUAGUGUAGCGGUGAAAUGCAUAGAUAUUACACAGAACACCGAUUGCGAAGGCAGCUUACUAAUCCAUCAUUGACGCUGAGGCACGAAAGCGUGGGGAUCAAACAGGA